UAAUUUUUCCAAAUUAGUCAACUGGGUUUUAUAUUAAAGAUUAGAAGUAGUAUUAAAAUGUCUUUUUAACAAAAGAGGCUAAAAUGAAGGGGGAAUCAAAAUCAAAAUGGGAAUGAAAAAUAAAAUUAAUGUGCUUAUUUUACCGUUUCUCUAAUCAUCCCCUAAAUACUCUUAACUAGUGGCUAUCACUUUACUAUUACAUUUUAGUUUCACUCCUGCAAUAGUCUUGGUAUAAUUUGUGUAGUACUAAAGAGCAACAUAGUGAUGAUAAUUAAAAUUAUAACGAGAUUCUUCCACUAGCUUGUUUGCUAACAUAUUGAAAAGUUGAUUACAGUAAACUACUACCUCUGGUCCUAAAAGUAGAUCUUAUAUUUAGAAUCGGAGGUGGGAAUUUGUGACUGUUUUUACAGCCUUGUGUCUCCCCAGGAGAACUGAUGUUCAAUUCUUGCCAGAAAGUUCUGAAUCCUAAACUUUGUAAAGGGAUCAUGGACAAAGGAGGUGCAAUGCCGGGAGAGGUGGCAUAAUCACCCAGACCCGCUUUAAGUCCUGAUCAGAUGCGAAGUUUUUGGGGGAUGGCGAUUGUUGCAGCCCUCUUUUGAGCCAACCAGCAUUGGCUAGUUACAAGGAGGAGGCUGAAGAUGACGUGAGAAAUAAAAGAAACGGGGUUCAAAGUUAAAACUUGUAUCCUGCACAGUUAUUCCUGGUAGAAAAUUUGGCUUCGCCCACAGAAUCUAUUAAAAGAAACCCCAUCAAUGGUUAUUGUUAUAUUAUACUCCUCCGAAGGUUGUCCCGAGAAGCCUAGCUAUGACUUAUGACAAUAGUCCUUCCAUCAUUAGGAGGAGAACUCACAGUAAUUAAAAGCAACUCCUAAAGCUGUAUGUCUUGGUGUGAAUAUUUUACACAAUUUGAAUUCGAUCGUUGCAGGGUGGUGUCACGUUGUUCAUGUAUAAAUCAAUUACCUCUGCCA
Long non-coding RNA from Neltuma alba, 967 nucleotides. RefSeq lists it as uncharacterized. Lineage: Eukaryota; Viridiplantae; Streptophyta; Magnoliopsida; Fabales; Fabaceae. The transcript is spliced from 2 exons. The record is from RefSeq and is a predicted model, not a curated record.